UACAGGAAAGAAAAUCUCAGCUGUGUCGCGCAACAUAGCAUAGGUGCCAAACCCGCUGUACCAGCCCGGUGCAGCAACCUGCAGCACCCGCCAGGAUGUGGCUGAAAGAAGACACCCUCAGCUGGUCAGAAAAGAAGUUGCAAGGACAUAUGCGAAAGAUGACGAGACAAGCCUCUCUGCACGAUUUUCAGCUUUUGAAAAGAAGGCACUCAGCAACCAAAUGGCUAUAUACUAAACGAGCUACAGAGCCUAAGGAGACUGCUUUCAUCAGCUAAACCUCAAAGAUUUAUUAGGCUGCCGGAAGACUGCCCUACACUGCCUGCAACUGACGUGU
Long non-coding RNA from Ornithodoros turicata, 334 nucleotides. RefSeq lists it as uncharacterized. Lineage: Eukaryota; Metazoa; Arthropoda; Arachnida; Ixodida; Argasidae. The transcript has 3 exons. The record is from RefSeq and is a predicted model, not a curated record.